UCAAACUUGGUCAUUUAGAGGAAGUAAAAGUCGUAACAAGGUUUCCGUAGGUGAACCUGCGGAAGGAUCAUUAAUGAUAAUUCGGCGUCUAUUGUCGAUACUAUCUUUUGUGAAAGAACAGAACUAAAAAAAUUUGGGGCUUAAAGAUGUUUUCGGGGUAACCUGGAAACGGCCCCAACUAUUUAACAAACCUACUAUCUUUAUGAACUGACAAAUGUUAUCAAAUAACUAAAAAAUAACUUUCAACAACGGAUCUCUUGGUUCUCGCAUCGAUGAAGAACGCAGC
RNAcentral lists this unclassified non-coding RNA (286 nucleotides) under uncultured fungus. RNAcentral's name for it is "partial contains small subunit ribosomal RNA, internal transcribed spacer 1, and 5.8S ribosomal RNA". The stretch from base 1 to 73 matches the Rfam family "Eukaryotic small subunit ribosomal RNA", at positions 1759 to 1831 of the family's 1831-position model. The record is from RNAcentral. Lineage: Eukaryota; Fungi.